GAAGCGACAAUAGCUCACCAUGUGAAUCUGCGUCAAGCCGAAUUGUGGUCUCACUUGCGCUAUUGGGCCGGGCCAAGUCCGUUGGAACACGGCAGCCGAGAGGGUGACACUCCCGUCCGCCCGGCCCUCUGAGCUUGUGUAUUCGAGUCGAGUUGUUUGGGAUUGCAGCUCUAAGCGGGUGGUAAAUUCCAUCGAAAGCUAAAUACUGGUGGGAGACCGAUAGCGUACAAGUACCGUGAGGGAAAGAUGCAAAGAAGCGCGAAAGCGCUGUUAAAGAGUACCUGAACUUGCUGAAACGGAAGCGAAGGAAACCAG
This 315-nucleotide ribosomal RNA is filed under the name Ochromonas sp. CCMP1393. Its description in RNAcentral is "partial Eukaryotic large subunit ribosomal RNA". It matches the Rfam family "Eukaryotic large subunit ribosomal RNA", at positions 95 to 432 of the family's 3401-position model. Lineage: Eukaryota; Chrysophyceae; Chromulinales; Chromulinaceae. The record is from RNAcentral.